This is a long non-coding RNA of Prionailurus viverrinus (fishing cat), 505 nucleotides long. RefSeq lists it as uncharacterized. Lineage: Eukaryota; Metazoa; Chordata; Mammalia; Carnivora; Felidae. The record is from RefSeq and is a predicted model, not a curated record. The transcript has 4 exons.
AAGUUUUCCCCUGCUUUCUGCUGCUGCCAUUUCUGGUGCUUGAAAAUUCUCUUAUUGCCCACCCUUCCUCUGAUGACAGCUGUAGAACCAGGCUUCCUCGUCAAAAUUAUCCUCUGAAGUCACAGCAUUUUCAAUUCAGUUCUAUGACAUCUGGAGGUUUAAGUACAUUUUUGUCAAGAAAGACACUGAAUUUUAAAAGAGAAUACCUGAUUGACCUAGCGGGUUGCAGUAGGAUGGCUGCACAAGAAGAAAAACUCUGAAGCAUUUACUCCCAACUUAAAGAUCCAAACAUGUGGUGCUCAUCUCUAAGCUCAUCCUGAGAAUCAAAUGUCCACCAUGUCGUCGAGAAGCCUGGAAGUUGCACUCGGAAUACUGUGAAAAUCCUUGUUACUUGCUGUACUCAGAUGUGUAGCAGUGGGAGGAUAGCAUUAUCUGUUCCACCAUCUGCCAGGGAGUGGACUGUAGGUAUAACACUGGCUAUUAGUGGAAACAACAGCAUGCAAUC